UACGUAGGGUGCGAGCGUUGUCCGGAAUUAUUGGGCGUAAAGAGCGUGUAGGCGGCCAGACAGGUCCGUUGUGAAAACUCGAGGCUCAACCUCGAGAUGUCGAUGGAAACCGUCUGGCUAGAGUCCGGAAGAGGAGUGUGGAAUUCCUGGUGUAGCGGUGAAAUGCGCAGAUAUCAGGAGGAACACCGGUGGCGAAGGCGGUUCUCUGGGCAUGAUCUGACGCUGAGGAGCGAAAGUGUGGGGAGCGAACAGG
RNAcentral lists this ribosomal RNA (253 nucleotides) under uncultured bacterium. Its description in RNAcentral is "partial 16S ribosomal RNA". It matches the Rfam family "Bacterial small subunit ribosomal RNA", at positions 524 to 776 of the family's 1533-position model. The record is from RNAcentral.